RNAcentral lists this long non-coding RNA (464 nucleotides) under Triticum aestivum (bread wheat). RNAcentral's name for it is "long non-coding RNA (TAES_LNC028572)". Lineage: Eukaryota; Viridiplantae; Streptophyta; Magnoliopsida; Poales; Poaceae. The record is from RNAcentral.
UCCUUGAAUGCCGAAGGUUGGUUUUCGUUGUGCACAUGAGGAACCAUAAGCUGGAAAUUGGUCAAUAGAAAAGUUUACAUGUUAAUUUAUCAGUAGGUAGGAAGUGCAGUAUGUAACCAUGCACCUAGAAGAUUAACACCUUUCCACAUUUUAUGUCAGUUUUAACCCAAUAAAAAAAUCGUAAAAUCUAUAAUAAACCUAGCAUAAAUCAGUAAGCAAUACCAAAUUUGAAGGAACUAACCAUGUAAGAACGAAACUAUAAACGACGAACGAUUUCUUCAUAGACUACGUUCCUUGUGAUUGGCGAAUGUUCUCCGUUCUCAUCUUCAAUUAAGAAUUUUAGACCCUUCCGAAACUGCACAAAGGAUCAAAAGCAUACCAACCAGAAUUGGAAUUGAGGAAAUCGCUCAUACAAGAAAAGGAAUCAGCAUAUGUGGAACCAAACAAAAUUUAGAUGCUUCUAA